RNAcentral lists this ribosomal RNA (253 nucleotides) under uncultured bacterium. RNAcentral's name for it is "partial 16S ribosomal RNA". It matches the Rfam family "Bacterial small subunit ribosomal RNA", at positions 524 to 776 of the family's 1533-position model. The record is from RNAcentral.
UACGUAGGGGGCUAGCGUUGUCCGGAAUCAUUGGGCGUAAAGCGCGUGUAGGCGGCCCGGUAAGUCCGCUGUGAAAGUCGGGAGCUCAACCCUCGGAUGCCGGUGGAUACUGUCGGGCUAGAGUACGGAAGAGGCGAGUGGAAUUCCUGGUGUAGCGGUGAAAUGCGCAGAUAUCAGGAGGAACACCAAUUGCGAAGGCAGCUCGCUGGGACGUUACUGACGCUGAGACGCGAAAGCGUGGGGAGCAAACAGG